GACGAACGCUGGCGGCGUGCCUAACACAUGCCAGUAGAACGCUGAAGGAGGAGUUUGCUUCUCUGGACGAGUUGCGAACGGGUGAGUAACGCGUAGGUAACCUGCCUGGUAGUGGGGGAUAACUUUUGGAAACGAUAGCUAAUACCGCAUAAGAGCAGAUGUUGCAUGACAUUUGCUUAAAAGUUGCAAUUGUGGCGCUUGGAGACGCACCUGCGUUGUAUGUUGUUGUUGGUGGGGUAUCGGCUCACCAAGGCGAGGAUGGUUCGCCGGCCUGAGAGGGUGACCGGCCCCAUUGGGACUGAGGAACGGCCCAGAGUCAUACGGGAGGAAGCAGUGGGGAUUAUUGCACACUGGGCGGAAGCCUGAUGCAGCGACGCCGCGUGCGGGAUGACGGCCUUCAGGGUGUAAACCGCUUUCGCCUGUGACGAAGCGUGAGUGACGGUAAUGUGUAAAGAAGCACCGGCUAACUACGUG
Molecule: ribosomal RNA, 474 nt
Filed under: uncultured bacterium
Lineage: Bacteria
Description: partial 16S ribosomal RNA
Rfam family: Bacterial small subunit ribosomal RNA
Source: RNAcentral